Molecule: ribosomal RNA, 468 nt
Filed under: uncultured bacterium
Lineage: Bacteria
Description: partial 16S ribosomal RNA
Rfam family: Bacterial small subunit ribosomal RNA
Source: RNAcentral
GACGAACGCUGGCGGCGUGCUUAACACAUGCAAGUCGAACGGAAAGGCCCUGCUUUUGUGGGGUGCUCGAUUGGCGAACGGGUGAGUAACACGUGAGUAACAUGCCCUUGACUUUGGGAUAACUUCAGGAAAAUGGGGCUAAUACCGGAUAGGAGCUCCUGCUGCAUGGUGGGGGUUGGAAAGUUUCGGCGGUUGGGGCUGGACUCGCGGCUUAUCAGCUUGUUGGUGGGGUAGUGGCUUACCAAGGCUUUGACGGGUAGCCGGCCUGAGAGGGUGACCGGCGACCUUGGGACUGCGAUACGGCCCAGACUCCUACGGUAGGCAGCAGUCGGGAGUAUUGCACAAUGGGCGGAAGCCAGAUGCAGCAGCGCCGCGUGCGGGAAGACGUCCUUCGGGUUGUAAACCGCUUUCGCCUGUGACGAAGCGUGAGUGACGGUAAUGGGUAAAGAAGCACCGGCUAACUACGUG